UUCUUCUGGAACGAGGCCUCUUGCGCCUCCAGUGGCGGCAAGACCUGCCCCGGAGGUACCCUGGCUGGGGAUCAAACUCACAGUAUGGGUGUAUCUGAGGACACUCUAACCGACUGAACUGCCUGGCCAGAGCCUGCCCCCUCUUCCUUCUAGGACUCAAGCAUCUGGCCUCCCAGCCUCUAUGGGCCAGCUGUUCAGUGACUCAGCAUCUCUAUUUCUGGUGCCUGGGUUCCCCCAUCCUCACUAGGACCCAGGCAUCCAGCUCCCACUCCCUCCAAAGGCCUACCUGCGGGCAGGGUUCGGAGGCCAGGCCCUGCGCUCAGUGAGCAACGAAGACCUCUCAAUUUUAAUUCCCAGGGACUGCUCCUAAGCCAGGUGGCUCCCACCUCCUCUCUACCAUAGAGGGGAGUACGCCUCACCCCUGCCCUCCCAGCCUGCCAUCCCAAAUCCGUCUCUCUCCUGUAAGGAUUCCUGUUUCUGAGUCCUAGCCAUGCUUCUGGAGAAGUCCUUCCUGUGGCCUAAGCCCUGUCCCUCCUGCUUUGGUCUGUGCUCUCUCUCCGAAGCAAGAGCAGCCUGUCCUCGCCUGUCCCUGCUCCCUUCCUUCCUUCGUCAGGCUUUAAUGAAAUGCUG
Eptesicus fuscus (big brown bat) is the source of this 630-nucleotide long non-coding RNA. RefSeq lists it as uncharacterized. The record is from RefSeq and is a predicted model, not a curated record. The transcript is spliced from 3 exons. Lineage: Eukaryota; Metazoa; Chordata; Mammalia; Chiroptera; Vespertilionidae.